AUAAGGGCAGAGACCUCAUGAAUGAGAUUAGCACCCUCAUAAAAGAGGCCAAAAGAAGUUUGUUUGCCCCUUCCUCCGUGUGAGGACCCACCUAGAAGUCACCAUCUAUGAAGCAGAAAGCAGGCCCUCAGCAGACAUGAAAUCUGGUGCUUUGAUUUGGACUUCCCAGCCUCUAGAACUUGGUGCAUGUCACCUUCCUGCAAGGCAACUAGUUUGCAGAUAUGGCCAGAGGGGAAAUUACUGGACAACAAAAUGAAAAGGGGGCAUAAGUCAGCCAGCUCUCUCAAUCCUAGGAAAGGAAACUUCCCUCCUGCUUAUGAAAGAGGACGAUUGUGCUCAGUACCACUUAUCCAGUGCCAACAAUCUGAGGCCAAGAAACUUGAAAAAGUGAUAGAAGCAGGGUACCUUUUGCAUCAUCAAACACAGCUCAGCUCUCCUUGCAGCCAGGAGUGGCCAUAUGAUGGAUUCUGACCAACGAGAUGCAAGCUGAAGUUGCUAACUGGGACUCCUAAAAACACUUUUAAAAAGUGAUGGACUCAUGAUCUCUUCACCCUUCUUCUGCCUGUCUUGAAUUGUCCAUCCUCAGACUUCGUGAUACACAAAAAAUUUAUUUUCGGCUAGGCCAUGUUAAUUUGGCUUUCCGCUACUUGCAGCUGACUGUAUUGAUUAUCUAAAACUGCUUUAUAAAGUUUUGUGACUAGGGGGUGGGAGCAAUGAUCACUAAUAUUCAUUAAGUGAAAGGAUAAAUGAUUGAAUUGUGUAUCUUAAUUGUGGUAUAUUCUGUACAACAUUUUUACAAUAAAUUAAUGUUGAAUGAGUUUAUUUCUAUUUGAUACUAAACACUAGCACAUCUGAAAUAGUUGUCAGUUUUUCCCCUUGCUAAAAGUACAAAGAUUAAAAAAUAAGAUAAGCCAUCUGGGCCAUGUGCACUGAAAGAAUGGCUAUAGCUCUUGCCCUGAUUAGAGGGUUUCACAAACUAGCAUUGAACUUACUGGGGGUUCAACAGAGAAGAAAAGGAG
Molecule: long non-coding RNA, 1019 nt
Organism: Gorilla gorilla gorilla (western lowland gorilla)
Lineage: Eukaryota; Metazoa; Chordata; Mammalia; Primates; Hominidae
Exons: 4
Source: RefSeq, a predicted model, not a curated record